AUGUUUCCCGUUGUUUAUCGUCUCAUUGAGUUGGCAUUGCUACUCCCGGUAGCGACGGCAACAGUUAAAAGAGUCUUCUCAUCAAUGAAAUUGCGCAGCAAGAUGUCUGAUGGCUGGCUUAAUGACUUGAUGGUGUGUUACAUUGAGCGAGAGAUCUUCAAAAGUAUUGAUCUUGGUAAAAUUAAGAAAGAUUUUUAG
RNAcentral lists this ribosomal RNA (198 nucleotides) under Triticum aestivum (bread wheat). Its description in RNAcentral is "partial small subunit ribosomal RNA". The record is from RNAcentral. Lineage: Eukaryota; Viridiplantae; Streptophyta; Magnoliopsida; Poales; Poaceae.